This is a long non-coding RNA of Ictalurus punctatus (channel catfish), 947 nucleotides long. The record is from Ensembl. Lineage: Eukaryota; Metazoa; Chordata; Actinopteri; Siluriformes; Ictaluridae.
AUUGUAUGUACAAAUGCAUGUGGAAAAGAUUGCUACUUUGUGCUAUGAAAAUGAUAGAAAAAAUGAAAGAUAUAAAAUUAUUUGUUUCUAGGUUAAAAUGUUAGCCAAUCAAUGGGAAAGGUGAGAGGUCAGGGGAGGAGGCAAAUCCUGCGUAUGGAAAAGUCACGCUCUCUUUCGGCUGCAGGCGAGACACGGAGAAGAUCACACUGGAGAACUGUAAAGUGAUUAAUGCUACUUUUCUUGCUUAAGUAAUACUUAAUGGUUGUAAGACCGAUAACCUAUUCACUACUUUGCAUGCGGAAGAAGUCGGUAUCACAUAGAGACAUUUUCAAAACGAAUUUGUCAGAAUAGCUCAGCUAAUAGUAUUGCCUGAAAAGUUAUCAACUCGGUAGCUGGGACUGUGUUAGGCUAACUGGCUUGGUCAACCAAUGAGUUGCCUCUGAGGAACAAGACUGCGAGACUAACCGGAAGAAGACAGCUUGCUGUUUGAACUGAUACGCGAACUACAGCAUCGCGUGAGCAACUGCAUACACCGAGAGCGCCUGAGCAGGGCUGCAGUGACGGUGCAUGGACCCUCUCUGGGCACGGACAUCCCCAUCAACCUCAAUGAGCGCAAUCAGACCCCUUGAGGGCUGCUGCAGUAUGCUUCACUCCCAUGCACUGCCUCCCCCCUCUGGCUCCUCAGUUGAGGUGGGUUGACUAUCCAUGCCAGAAGGAGAAGUCGCUUCAUGAGUUCUAAAACCCGGAAGCAGAGAGUCGGAUACAGAGGAAAGAGCAAGAGAAAGAACAGUGCUCCUGUCCGAUUCCCUCUCCAGAUCCAUACAGGACCCCAGGAUCUGAGCCAGCCGCUGUCAAGGUUCAGCUGAAGUGAGAGAGCUGGCCUAUAAAAGGGAAACUGAAAGGGAACUAGGUUAUAUUUCACCAAAACAAUUGACUUUUUUUAUUUA